ACGUAAGGAACCUGCCCCUAUGCCUGGGAUAACUCUGGGAAACGAGAGCUAAUACCGGAUAGGUGAACGGAAGACAUCUUCGGUUCAUGAAAGAUGGGGAACAUCACAGAGGGAUGGCCUUACGGCGCAUUAGCUAGUUGGAGAGGUAGAGGCUCACCAAGGCGAUGAUGCGUAGCCGGCCUGAGAGGGUGAACGGCCACAUUGGGACUGAGACACGGCCCAGACUCCUACGGAAGGCAGCAG
This 243-nucleotide ribosomal RNA is filed under the name uncultured bacterium. RNAcentral's name for it is "partial 16S ribosomal RNA". It matches the Rfam family "Bacterial small subunit ribosomal RNA", at positions 115 to 354 of the family's 1533-position model. The record is from RNAcentral.